GCGGGCUUAGCUCAGUUGGUAGAGCACCAGAUUGUGAUUCUGUUGGUCAUGGGUUGUUCUCUACAAAUCAUG
Molecule: non-coding RNA, 72 nt
Organism: Fonticula alba
Lineage: Eukaryota; Rotosphaerida; Fonticulaceae
Source: the annotation of a RefSeq genome assembly